CGAUUUCAUGAGGUUGCAAUAUCA
Molecule: non-coding RNA, 24 nt
Filed under: Arabidopsis thaliana (thale cress)
Lineage: Eukaryota; Viridiplantae; Streptophyta; Magnoliopsida; Brassicales; Brassicaceae
Source: RNAcentral